This 505-nucleotide ribosomal RNA is filed under the name uncultured bacterium. RNAcentral's name for it is "partial 16S ribosomal RNA". It matches the Rfam family "Bacterial small subunit ribosomal RNA", at positions 29 to 523 of the family's 1533-position model. The record is from RNAcentral.
AACGAACGCUGGCGGCGUGGAUAAGACAUGCAAGUCGAACGGGACAUUUUUAGUAGUAAUAUUAGAGAUGUUCAGUGGCGAACGGGUGCGUAACACGUGGAUACAUUCCGGAAAGCGGGGGAUAGCCCAGGGAAACUUGGAUUAAUACCGCAUGUGGUCGCAAGACUAAAGACGGGGAUCGAAAGACCUGUCACUUUCCGAUUGGUCCGCGGCCUAUCAGCUAGUUGGCGGGGUAAAAGCCCACCAAGGCGACGACGGGUAGCUGGUCUUAGGGGCCGACCAGCCACACUGGAACUGAGACACGGUCCAGACACCUACGGGUGGCAGCAGUCGAGAAUCUUUCACAAUGGGGGCAACCCUGAUGGAGCGACGCCGCGUGGAGGAUAAGGUCUUCGGAUUGUAAACUCCUGUCAUGCGAGAACAAGGUUGCAGGGCUAAUACCCGUGCAAAUUGAUGGUACCGCAAGAGGAAGAGACGGCUAACUCUGUGCCAGCCGCCGCAGUAA